GAAAGUUAGUGAAGGGUGCAGAGACGCACCCGUCCUUCGGGACACGAAACUAGGUGCUGCAUGGCAGUAGUCAGCUCGUGCCGUGAGGUGUUGGGUUAAGUCCCGCAACGAGCGCAACCCCUAUGUUUAGUUGCCAGCAUUUAAGGUGGGGACUCUAAACAGACUGCCUGCGCAAGCAGAGAGGAAGGCGGGGACGACGUCAAGUCAUCAUGGCCCUUACGUCCGGGGCUACACACGUGCUACAAUGGAUGGUACAGCGGGCAGCUACAUAGCAAUAUGGUGCUAAUCUCUAAAAGCCAUUCACAGUUCGGAUUGGGGUCUGCAACUCGACCCCAUGAAGUUGGAUUCGCUAGUAAUCGCGUAUCAGCAAUGACGCGGUGAAUACGUUCCCGGGCCUUGUACACACCGCCCGUCAAGCCAUGAAAGUUGGGGGUACCUAAAGCAUGUGACCGCAAGGAGC
Molecule: ribosomal RNA, 460 nt
Filed under: Sphingobacterium sp. SKC_BP16
Lineage: Bacteria; Pseudomonadati; Bacteroidota; Sphingobacteriia; Sphingobacteriales; Sphingobacteriaceae
Description: bacterial SSU rRNA
Rfam family: Bacterial small subunit ribosomal RNA
Source: RNAcentral